GAUGAACGCUGACAGAAUGCUUAACACAUGCAAGUCGAUGGGGAAGUGGUGCUUGCACCAUGGUAACCAUGGCGGACGGGUGAGUAACGCGUAAGGAACUUGCCUGCGGGACUGGGAUAACAGCAGGAAACUGCUGAUAAUACCGGAUAAGGUCAUUAAGCUGCAUAGCUUAGUGAUGAAAGGAGACGCCUGCGGAGAGCCUUGCGUCCUAUUAGCUAAUUGGAGGGGUAACGGCCCACCAAGGCGAAGAUAGGUAGCCGGCCUGAGAGGGUGGACGGCCACAAGGGGACUGAGAUACGGCCCUUACUCCUACGGGAGGCAGCAGUGGGGAAUAUUGGACAAUGGGGGCAACCCUGAUCCAGCAAUUCUGUGUGCACGAAGACGGUUUUCGGAUUGUAAAGUGCUUUCAGCAGGGAAGAAGGAAGUGACGGUACCUGCAGAAGAAGCGACGGCUAAAUACGUG
RNAcentral lists this ribosomal RNA (463 nucleotides) under uncultured bacterium. RNAcentral's name for it is "partial 16S ribosomal RNA". It matches the Rfam family "Bacterial small subunit ribosomal RNA", at positions 28 to 507 of the family's 1533-position model. The record is from RNAcentral.